Molecule: long non-coding RNA, 1173 nt
Organism: Capsicum annuum
Lineage: Eukaryota; Viridiplantae; Streptophyta; Magnoliopsida; Solanales; Solanaceae
Exons: 2
Source: RefSeq, a predicted model, not a curated record
GUAACAACCUUUAGAAAUUAGGGGAUUUUCUAAGAUUGGCCUCAGUUUGUAGAAAACAAGAAAAGAUAUGAGAUUUUUAUCCUCAAAUAAGAGGUAAUAGUUGAGUGGGUCUCUUCUCUACUAGAGGGAGUACGUCCUAGAUGGAUGUUCCUAAAGUUAUUGCCUCAAAAUACCAAUCCUUGGUGUCUCAUCCCUUUCCGCCUCAUAUUGAUCCAUGUCUUGCAGAUGGAAUCAAUGAGGUAGUUAUUCAGAUAUGCCUGUAGUCCCUAGUUCUACUAAUUUGAUAGGACCCCAGUGGGAUGCAUAACUCACUUGGCAGAUUACUUCCCUGUAGAGGAAGUAUGGAGCUUUUUACUCCCGUAGGACUCUUUUCAAGGGCAUCACCAGGUCUUUGUCGCAGGUGGAUAUAAAUAUGAGGAAACUUAAGGAGACGAUUACUGCCUUAGAAAAAAGGUUUGCAACUCAAAGAAUUGCUCUUUUGUAGAUAAGGAGACACAAGCAAAGUUAAACCUCAAAGUUAAAAAUCUUUCUAAUAGAGUCAAGAGUGCAGAGACAAUAACUGAUCAGGACUUUCAUAAUUAUUCACAACUGUGCACCCAUUUGAAAGAGAAAUUUGUUGAAGGAGUGAUAGCUCAGGCUGAAGUACAGCUUCUCUAGGGGAGGUAAAAUUUGUCGGUUGGUUAAAGUAUACCUUUUACUAAAAAUUGGAGAAGGUUAAGUUCAUUCGAGGAAAGUUAGAGAAGAUCUAGGCUCGAUGCUCAUCCAUGAUGGACUAUUUUGUGAGCAUCCGUCAUGAAGAGAUUUGGGUGUAAAAGUUGGGUAUCCAUGAGAAGGUUCUAGCCAAACCUUUAUUGAUUGAGAAAGAAUUUUAAAAUGUUUGAGCAGCUAACCAUAUCAAUAUUGGUUCACCCUUCAACCCUACGGAAGUGGCCUCUUCCCUAGACGACUCGUCCUUCGGAGGCAAUUUGAAGAAGCAUCAGGCUCUUAGGCUAGGGUACCUGAAACCUGUGUCCAUUCCAAUAUUUAUUUCUUUAUUUCCUAGAAUUUGAACUAUCUUAGGGUCUUCUUUCAUUAUUUUAUUUUUGAGAGUUUGUCGUACUGGAUUUAUGUUAUGUUGUGCUAUUCAAGCUAUCUUGUCAUUUCUCUUCUCUUUUAUUAUUACUGUUAUUUUGU